This is a long non-coding RNA of Dama dama (fallow deer), 632 nucleotides long. RefSeq lists it as uncharacterized. The record is from RefSeq and is a predicted model, not a curated record. NCBI's taxonomy places the organism in Eukaryota, Metazoa, Chordata, Mammalia, Artiodactyla, Cervidae. The transcript has 3 exons.
GGGUGGGAGCCCAACUCCAGGAUCUGGUGGGGCGGAGGAGGCAGGGACCCCGACGGUCCUGGCUGGGCGGGGCUAGCACCUCAUGGAAAGCAUGCGCAGAGCGUUUACCCGAAGCGGCUCCGAAGUUGAGCACCUGGCUGAAGAUGCAGCUCUGGGGAGGCGCGUUUCCACACACACUGGGGGAAGAUAAAGGCUCACCUCCUUGCUCCCUCCCGACCCCGGCCUCCCCGCCCGCGCCGUGACCACCUGAUGUACGGGAAGCCUUCGAUCCCACAUGCUGCUGGGGACAAAACCCGCAUGUGCGCCACAACUCCUGAGCCUGCUGCAACUACUGAAGCCCAAGCGCCUAGAGCCGGCGCUCUGCAGCCAGAGCAGCCACCACAAAGAAGAGUCGCCCGGCUCACCGCAGCUAGAGAAAGACUGCGGACAGCAGCGAAGACCCAGCACAGGCUAACAUAAAACAGCUCUCGGCUUCCUGGCCUCCUCCCUUCUCACUACUCGGGUGCCUGGGCCCCGGCCCCCCUCCUGCGUCCCCAGGCCCCGAGGGUCCAGGCCCCCAGCCCGUCCGCCCUCAGCCGCAGGGAGCGUCUCCUCCCUGAGACCCAGAAGUGCCAGCCACCCGCUCCCUCAGC